AAUCGUCGUCAAUCUUUGUUGU
This 22-nucleotide small nuclear RNA is filed under the name Arabidopsis thaliana (thale cress). RNAcentral's name for it is "snRNA_19139". The record is from RNAcentral. Lineage: Eukaryota; Viridiplantae; Streptophyta; Magnoliopsida; Brassicales; Brassicaceae.